This 775-nucleotide ribosomal RNA is filed under the name uncultured Neocallimastigales. RNAcentral's name for it is "partial large subunit ribosomal RNA". It matches the Rfam family "Eukaryotic large subunit ribosomal RNA", at positions 20 to 646 of the family's 3401-position model. The record is from RNAcentral. Lineage: Eukaryota; Fungi; Neocallimastigomycota; Neocallimastigomycetes; Neocallimastigales.
UACUAGAGUAGCACUCGCAUAUCAAUAAGCGGAGGAAAAGAAACUAACAAGGAUUCCCCUAGUAACGGCGAGUGAAGCGGGAAGAGCUCAAAUUUGAAAUCUUAAAGGGUUUCCCUUUACGAAUUGUAGUUUAAAGAAGUGUUUUCUGUUGAGGUUUUGGUAAAAGUUCUUUGGAAUAGGACAUCAUAGAGGGUGAGAAUCCCGUAUUUGACCUUUACUUUCAACUUUGUGAUACACUUUCAAAGAGUCGGAUUGUUUGGGAAUGCAGUCCAAAAUGGGUGGUAAAUUUCAUCUAAAGCUAAAUAUUGGCGAGAGACCGAUAGCGAACAAGUACCGUGAGGGAAAGAUGAAAAGAACUUUGAAAAGAGAGUUAAACAGUACGUGAAACUGUCAAAAGGGAAGCGUUUGACACCAGUGUUGUUUUUCUGAAAAUCAAUUAAAGAACUGUUUAUGCUAAGCUGUUUAGACUUUAUCAGCUAUCUGUUUAGUUUUGAGCUUUUCUUUAAUGCACUUUUCAGUUAACAAGUCAACAUCAAUUUCUUUUGCUGUAAAAAAGCUUGAGGAAGGUGGCUUGAGAUUCGUCUUAAGUGUUUAUAGCCUCUUGCCUAUGCAGUCGGAGAGAUUGAGGUCUGCAGCGUAGAUCCUUCGGGGCUAAAUGCAUUUGUGCUAAGUUAUAGCAUUUUAUAGACAACUUGUUGACUAUGUUUUGUCUUGUAGCUUACUCGCUUAUGUUAUUUUACCUACGCUUAGGAUGUUGAGCGCAUUGUCUCUCUCU